ACACUAUCAUUAACUGAAUCCAUAGGUUAAUGAGGCGAACCGGGGGAACUGAAACAUCUAAGUACCCCGAGGAAAAGAAAUCAACCGAGAUUCCCCCAGUAGCGGCGAGCGAACGGGGAGGAGCCCAGAGCCUGAAUCAGUGUGUGUGUUAGUGGAAGCGUCUGGAAAGGCGCGCGAUACAGGGUGACAGCCCCGUACACAAAAAUGCACAUGCUGUGAGCUCGAUGAGUAGGGCGGGACACGUGGUAUCCUGUCUGAAUAUGGGGGGACCAUCCUCCAAGGCUAAAUACUCCUGACUGACCGAUAGUGAACCAGUACCGUGAGGGAAAGGCGAAAAGAACCCCGGCGAGGGGAGUGAAAAAGAACCUGAAACCGUGUACGUACAAGCAGUGGGAGCACAGAGCAAUCUGUGUGACUGCGUACCUUUUGUAUAAUGGGUCAGCGACUUAUAUUCUGUAGCAAGGUUAACCGAAUAGGGGAGCCGAAGGGAAACCGAGUCUUAACUGGGCGUUAAGUUGCAGGGUAUAGACCCGAAACCCGGUGAUCUAGCCAUGGGCAGGUUGAAGGUUGGGUAACACUAACUGGAGGACCGAACCGACUAAUGUUGAAAAAUUAGCGGAUGACUUGUGGCUGGGGGUGAAAGGCCAAUCAAACCGGGAGAUAGCUGGUUCUCCCCGAAAGCUAUUUAGGUAGCGCCUCGUGAAUUCAUCUCCGGGGGUAGAGCACUGUUUCGGCAAGGGGGUCAUCCCGACUUACCAACCCGAUGCAAACUGCGAAUACCGGAGAAUGUUAUCACGGGAGACACACGGCGGGUGCUAACGUCCGUCGUGAAGAGGGAAACAACCCAGACCGCCAGCUAAGGUCCCAAAGUCAUGGUUAAGUGGGAAACGAUGUGGGAAGGCCCAGACAGCCAGGAUGUUGGCUUAGAAGCAGCCAUCAUUUAAAGAAAGCGUAAUAGCUCACUGGUCGAGUCGGCCUGCGCGGAAGAUGUAACGGGGCUAAACCAUGCACCGAAGCUGCGGCAGCGACGCUGAUGCGUUGUUGGGUAGGGGAGCGUUCUGUAAGCCUGUGAAGGUGUGCUGUGAGGCAUGCUGGAGGUAUCAGAAGUGCGAAUGCUGACAUAAGUAACGAUAAAGCGGGUGAAAAGCCCGCUCGCCGGAAGACCAAGGGUUCCUGUCCAACGUUAAUCGGGGCAGGGUGAGUCGACCCCUAAGGCGAGGCCGAAAGGCGUAGUCGAUGGGAAACAGGUUAAUAUUCCUGUACUUGGUGUUACUGCGAAGGGGGGACGGAGAAGGCUAUGUUGGCCGGGCGACGGUUGUCCCGGUUUAAGCGUGUAGGCUGGUUUUCCAGGCAAAUCCGGAAAACUAAGGCUGAGGCGUGAUGACGAGGCACUACGGUGCUGAAGCAACAAAUGCCCUGCUUCCAGGAAAAGCCUCUAAGCAUCAGGUAACAUCAAAUCGUACCCCAAACCGACACAGGUGGUCAGGUAGAGAAUACCAAGGCGCUUGAGAGAACUCGGGUGAAGGAACUAGGCAAAAUGGUGCCGUAACUUCGGGAGAAGGCACGCUGAUAUGUAGGUGAAGUCCCUCGCGGAUGGAGCUGAAAUCAGUCGAAGAUACCAGCUGGCUGCAACUGUUUAUUAAAAACACAGCACUGUGCAAACACGAAAGUGGACGUAUACGGUGUGACGCCUGCCCGGUGCCGGAAGGUUAAUUGAUGGGGUCAGCGCAAGCGAAGCUCUUGAUCGAAGCCCCGGUAAACGGCGGCCGUAACUAUAACGGUCCUAAGGUAGCGAAAUUCCUUGUCGGGUAAGUUCCGACCUGCACGAAUGGCGUAAUGAUGGCCAGGCUGUCUCCACCCGAGACUCAGUGAAAUUGAACUCGCUGUGAAGAUGCAGUGUACCCGCGGCAAGACGGAAAGACCCCGUGAACCUUUACUAUAGCUUGACACUGAACAUUGAGCCUUGAUGUGUAGGAUAGGUGGGAGGCUUUGAAGUGUGGACGCCAGUCUGCAUGGAGCCGACCUUGAAAUACCACCCUUUAAUGUUUGAUGUUCUAACGUUGACCCGUAAUCCGGGUUGCGGACAGUGUCUGGUGGGUAGUUUGACUGGGGCGGUCUCCUCCUAAAGAGUAACGGAGGAGCACGAAGGUUGGCUAAUCCUGGUCGGACAUCAGGAGGUUAGUGCAAUGGCAUAAGCCAGCUUGACUGCGAGCGUGACGGCGCGAGCAGGUGCGAAAGCAGGUCAUAGUGAUCCGGUGGUUCUGAAUGGAAGGGCCAUCGCUCAACGGAUAAAAGGUACUCCGGGGAUAACAGGCUGAUACCGCCCAAGAGUUCAUAUCGACGGCGGUGUUUGGCACCUCGAUGUCGGCUCAUCACAUCCUGGGGCUGAAGUAGGUCCCAAGGGUAUGGCUGUUCGCCAUUUAAAGUGGUACGCGAGCUGGGUUUAGAACGUCGUGAGACAGUUCGGUCCCUAUCUGCCGUGGGCGCUGGAGAACUGAGGGGGGCUGCUCCUAGUACGAGAGGACCGGAGUGGACGCAUCACUGGUGUUCGGGUUGUCAUGCCAAUGGCACUGCCCGGUAGCUAAAUGCGGAAGAGAUAAGUGCUGAAAGCAUCUAAGCACGAAACUUGCCCCGAGAUGAGUUCUCCCUGACUCCUUGAGAGUCCUGAAGGAACGUUGAAGACGACGACGUUGAUAGGCCGGGUGUGUAAGCGCAGCGAUGCGUUGAGCUAACCGGUACUAAUGAACCGUGAGGCUUAACCUUACAACGCCGAAGCUGUU
Molecule: ribosomal RNA, 2780 nt
Filed under: Escherichia coli
Lineage: Bacteria; Pseudomonadati; Pseudomonadota; Gammaproteobacteria; Enterobacterales; Enterobacteriaceae
Description: bacterial LSU rRNA
Rfam family: Bacterial large subunit ribosomal RNA
Source: RNAcentral